This 413-nucleotide ribosomal RNA is filed under the name uncultured bacterium. Its description in RNAcentral is "bacterial SSU rRNA". It matches the Rfam family "Bacterial small subunit ribosomal RNA", at positions 945 to 1359 of the family's 1533-position model. The record is from RNAcentral.
UUUAAUUCGAAGCAACGCGAAGAACCUUACCAGGUCUUGACAUCCUCUGACAACCCUAGAGAUAGGGCUUCUCCUUCGGGAGCAGAGUGACAGGUGGUGCAUGGUUGUCGUCAGCUCGUGUCGUGAGAUGUUGGGUUAAGUCCCGCAACGAGCGCAACCCUUGAUCUUAGUUGCCAUCAUUUAGUUGGGCACUCUAAGGUGACUGCCGGUGACAAACCGGAGGAAGGUGGGGAUGACGUCAAAUCAUCAUGCCCCUUAUGACCUGGGCUACACACGUGCUAGAAUGGACGGUACAAAGAGCUGCAAGACCGCGAGGUGGAGCUAAUCUCAUAAAACCGUUCUCAGUUCGGAUUGUAGGCUGCAACUCGCCUACAUGAAGCUGGAAUCGCUAGUAAUCGCGGAUCAGCAUGCCG